UACGGAGGAUGCAAGCGUUAUCCGGAAUUAUUGGGCGUAAAGCGUCCGUAGGUGGUUUUUCAAGUCUGUUGUCAAAUCGUGCAGCUUAACUGCAUACGGGCAAUGGAAACUGUGGAACUAGAGUGCGAUAGGGGUUACAGGAAUUCCCAGUGUAGCGGUGAAAUGCGUAGAUAUUGGGAAGAACACCAGCGGCGAAAGCGUGUGACUGGGUCUGCACUGACACUGAGGGACGAAAGCUAGGGGAGCGAAAGGG
Molecule: ribosomal RNA, 253 nt
Filed under: uncultured bacterium
Lineage: Bacteria
Description: partial 16S ribosomal RNA
Rfam family: Bacterial small subunit ribosomal RNA
Source: RNAcentral